RNAcentral lists this ribosomal RNA (481 nucleotides) under uncultured Clavispora. Its description in RNAcentral is "SSU rRNA". It matches the Rfam family "Eukaryotic small subunit ribosomal RNA", at positions 547 to 1056 of the family's 1831-position model. Lineage: Eukaryota; Fungi; Ascomycota; Pichiomycetes; Serinales; Metschnikowiaceae. The record is from RNAcentral.
AUUGGAGGGCAAGUCUGGUGCCAGCAGCCGCGGUAAUUCCAGCUCCAAGAGCGUAUAUUAAAGUUGUUGCAGUUAAAAAGCUCGUAGUUGAACCUUGGAGGCGCCGUGCGGUCCGCUUAGGCGAGCACUGGAGGCUGCGCCUCUUUCCUCCUCCUCUUAGCAAUAAGAGGAGGACUGUUACUUUGAGUAAAUGAGAGUGCUCAAUGCAGGCGCACCGCUUGAAUCUGUUAGCAUGGAAUAAUAGAAUAGGACGCAUGGUUCUAUUUUGUUGGUUUCUAGGACCCUCGUAAUGAUUAAUAGGGACGGUCGGGGGCAUCAGUAUUCAGUUGUCAGAGGUGAAAUUCAUGGAUUUACUGAAGACUAACUACUGCGAAAGCAUUUGCCAAGGACGUUUUCAUUAGUCAAGAACGAAAGUUAGGGGAUCGAAGAUGAUCAGAUACCGUCGUAGUCUUAACCAUAAACUAUGCCGACUAGGGAUCGG